This is a long non-coding RNA of Numida meleagris (helmeted guineafowl), 3010 nucleotides long. RefSeq lists it as uncharacterized. Lineage: Eukaryota; Metazoa; Chordata; Aves; Galliformes; Numididae. The transcript has 2 exons. The record is from RefSeq and is a predicted model, not a curated record.
GGGAUGCAUCUCAUCAGGACCCAUAGACUUGAGGAUGUUCAGGUUCCUUAGGUGAUCAUGAACCUGAUCUUUGCUUACAGUGGGAGGGACGUUGCUUCCCCAAUACCCUCCUACCAAACCAAACACUUGAAGACUGUGUGAUGAGCAGUUAUCAGAGAAGACCGAGGCAAAAAAAAUUGUUAAGUACCUCUGCCUUCUCCUUGUCUGUUGUUUCCAUCCUGCCUGUGUCACCCACUGUGGGGAGGUACCCCCUCCUGGACUUUAUUUUUCUGGUUCAGGUUCCUGUAGAAGCCUUCCUUGUUCUUCUUGGCACUCCUUGCAAAGUUUAGUUCAAGCUGGGCCUUGGUUUUCCUGACCCCAUCCCUACACAGCCUAGCAGCUUCCUUACAGUCUUCCCGUGGUACCUGCCCCAGUUUCCACUGCCUGUGCAUUUUCUUCUUGCUUUUCAGUUUGACCAGCAAGUUCUGAUUCAGCCAUGCUGGUCUCUUGCCUUCCUUUCCUGACUUGCUACACCUGGGGAUGGAGACCUUUUGAGUGCUAAGGAAAGCUUCCUUAAAGAUCUGCAAACUCUGCUCUACACCCUUGCCCAUGAGGACAGUUUCUCAGGGUGUUUUGUUGACUAACUCCCUGAAGAGUUGGAAGUUAGCUUUCCUGAAAUUCAGCAUCCUAAUUUUACUCUUUGCCUGUCUCACAUCCCUCUGGAGCAUGAACUCAACCAUAGCACAUUCACUACAGCCCAAUCCUGAUGUCACCGAUCAGUUCAUUUGCAUUGGUGAGCAACAGAUCCAGUAUUGCAUCCCUGCUGGUGGGGCUGUCAACUACUCGAGUCAGGAAGUUAUCCUCAAUGCAUUCUAGGAGCUUUCUGGAUUGCCUACAGCUCGCUGUACUACUGUUCCAGCAGAUGCCUGGGUGGUUUACGUCCCCCAGUGGGACGACUGCUUGUGAUCAUGAUGCCUCCUGUAGCUGGAGGUAGAAGGCCUCAUCAACAGGCUCCACUUAAUCAGGUUGCCUGUAGUAGACACUGAUCACAAGGCUCCCUUUGCUGCCUCGGUCUCUAACUGUCACUCAUAGGCUUUCAACUUGCUCAUGACUAUUAUUUAGGGACUGCUCUUUGCAUUCUAUUCCUUUCCUGAUGUAGAUAGCCACACCUCCUCCCUUCCUUCCUCAUCUGUCCCUUCUGAACAGCUUGUAGCUGUCAAUAGCCACACUCCAGUCAUGAGAAUCAUCCCACCAGGUUUUGCUGAAGACAACUACAUUGUGGUUUUCUAGUAGCACAGUAGCUUCCAGCCUCCUGUUUGUCUUCCAAGAUGUGUGGAUUGGUGUAGAGACACUUCAGCUGGGCAGCUGGUCUUGUCACCUCCUUAAAGGAUAAAUCUUUAAUUCCUUUUAAAUAUUUCCCUUGAUUUUCCCCUUUGCCUUCUCCUAUUGCCCCAGCAGCCACUGCCUCAUCAUCACAGGUUUUCAUAUGUGUUGCAGUGUUGCCAGCACCUCUCAAGACAGCAGGUUCUUCAAAGCCCCUGCUAGCACCGUCCCUCAAAUCCAGCUAUGACAUUCCACACCUUGUCAUGGGAAGGCUUACUAUUCCCCCUUCAGACCUUGUUUAAAGCCCUCCCAAUGAGCCCCGCUAGCUUUUCCUCAAGGACACUUCCUUGAGAAAGGUGAACCCCAUCCAGUACCCACAAAGCUCGUGCCAUAUAGGCCAAUUUGUUGUCAAAAAAACAGCCACAAAGCUAGGUAUUUAAAGAUAAGAUCCUUUCAUUUGUUUACAUGUCCUUACCCAGUACAGGAGGCAGAGAAGAAAAGAUGAUCUGCAAUGUUACUUGCUGAUAUCCCCCAUACAAUUUAAUUUCUCCACAUACUGAACGCCUGUGAUUGCUCUUGCCUACAGAAGAAAACUAACCUUCCUUUCGCUGCCCAUGUAACCAAGUUGGAAUGGUCUGUAAGGUUUAAAUUGCAUAAAAAAUAACUAAACUGUUUCAUGGCCUACUUUUUGUAUGGACAAGAGUAAAAAAAAAACGUAAUUUAAAAUUGACCUGCUGUUCUUCAUAAAGGAUAUGAGAAACCAAAGUAUUUUGAACUUGAGAUUGUGGUGGAAAAUCAAAUGUAGAUGUCGAUGGAGAAGAGAGAGGUAUCAGCCCAGUCCCAUGCUGUCUCCUGAUGACUUUCUCCCAUUCUCCCUGCAUCUUCUGAAAGUUAUGCCAUUCAUUCUUCUUACCCUUUUCAAUGCAUUUGUCAGAUCCAGUGAAUUUUCUUGUUUAAGAAGUAUUUCUAUUUCUCUGUCUAAAUCAAACAUAAUUAAAACACCUUUUUGAAAGAUAUAUAUCAAAUGUACAGUUCUGCAGCAUCAGCUUCUGAAAACGGUGCAAAUCAUAUUGCUUUGUUUCUUACUCCUUUGUAGAGGGGAUAAAGUGUUCCCAAACAUACAACAGUGAAGUAAAAUUUUCUGAAGGAAAAAUUUCAGAUCUACAGCUACUGGCAGCCCAUAAAAGAAAAUUAAAUGAGUGCAGAAGUAUUCUCAAGGAUGAUGAGGGAUACUGUGCUGCAGAUCUAAGUGAAGAGUAAUCCACAGCAAAAGAAGACAUAAAAUAAAUGAGCUCUACGAAUGACAUUGGUUGGCCGCAGCCACCUGAAGACCUGCCCUCUCAUGCUUUCAGUCCAAACCAGACUUCAUGAAACUCAAUGGACAGAAGCUGGCUUCAAGGCUUUUGGUAAUAAAAAUUCAGAAUUGGCAUGGAAACUAUGAUUAGGAGGGCUUUGAAGAUUUUCUACAAUUACUAUUAAUUUAGUUUUGUGUACAUAAUAAUCACAAAAUAGUGUGCUGUUUUUUUCCUUGAGUGCCUCAAAUCUAAAAAAAAGUUGUUUUUAUAAUUCUUCAGGAAAUUGUAUUGCGUGUAUUUUGUACUUUGUUGUUUCUCCCUGUGGAAUUUGUCAUGGUGGAUACAAAUCUAUGGCCGAUACAAGCUUCUCUUCUAGAGAAGGCAAUAAAAAUGAGAUAAUAUUGCUGUUAAUA